Molecule: long non-coding RNA, 568 nt
Organism: Alligator mississippiensis (American alligator)
Lineage: Eukaryota; Metazoa; Chordata; Crocodylia; Alligatoridae
Exons: 4
Source: RefSeq, a predicted model, not a curated record
CCUUGUGUGAGGAGGCAUUGCAUGAGAGAAACCCAGGAGCUAGCAGGUGAAACAUUUUUCAGACUCCUGAGAUCUCCAAGGUGUCAGCCAAGUUGGGAGCUAUCACAGCUACACUUGACAACCUGCUGCAAGAAUGCCAUCAGCAUUAGCUGAGCAUGAUGGACAAGCAGGUUCAGCUCAGCCUGAGGUCAAACCCAUCUGGAGUAAAUGAAGAGCCCCUGGACUACCAUGAGCUUGAUGGGUGGAAUGAGUGAGGCAGAAGUCUCACCUUGCUGCUCUCUGCCCUGAGUGCAGCUGAAGGGACUUCACUAACAUGCAGAGUGUGCUGGCCACAGAAACCUGCAGCAAUAAAGGUGUUAAUGAUGGUCUUGAUGUUCCACCAAUCAAGCUAUCCUUUGUUCUGCAAUUCUGCUGUCUGUCACCUGCUCCUGAUAAGGAAGCUUCUAUUUCACAGCCCUGAAGAUUGUUUUUAACUCAUUCCAAUGAAGCUAUCUAUGUUUUUGAUUCAAUCUUAAACUGCACAAUGCAGCCAUAGGCCUCUGGCAUAUUAGUAAAGUAUCUAGUUUCU